This is a long non-coding RNA of Homo sapiens (human), 13133 nucleotides long. RefSeq lists it as uncharacterized. The transcript is spliced from 3 exons. NCBI's taxonomy places the organism in Eukaryota, Metazoa, Chordata, Mammalia, Primates, Hominidae. The record is from RefSeq and is a predicted model, not a curated record.
UCAAAAUUAUAUGCGUUCAUAGCUUAAAAAUGAAAAUUGUUCUACGAGGUUCAUUUUUUAAAAAUCCCAACAAUCUUUUCUCACCUGUUGCCAGCUACCUUAACUUUUAACUAUUUGUUUGGAUUAUAUCUACAUGUACCUAAAUAAUUUGCUUACACUGUUUCUUCUUAAUUUUUAAACUCUUUAUAGAAGACUAAACUUUUGAUUUUUCACUUCUUCCCCCUCCAAGAAAAUACACACACACACACACACUCACACACACGCUCAAACACACGUGCAUGUGCUCCUCUUUCCACAUUCUUUCUACAUAAUUAUAUUAUGAUGUUUGGAUUGAGAGACAGUGUUUUACAUUGCUCUGAGUCAAGAACACACUAUUCACAGCUGAGCCAUGUAAUGUACUAUUAUUACAUUUCUUUUCUUAUACUACAUUUUUAUGUCCCUGGAGUUAGUAAUUUUUUACUUUUUUAUUUGGAGGGGUGCUGCUUGGUUUUCUAUGUGCCAAUUGCUAAUUGUACAAACUCUUUACCAGAAAUGUAAAUCUUCUUAUAUAGACACAUUAGGUCUGCUAUUUAUUCUUCUUUUUUGAGAGAUUUCUCCAGAGCUCUGUCUUCCUGCUCCAAUCUAGAGUUAAUAUUCUCUAGAUUUACCACUGAGAUGUCAUCCUGGGACCUCUCUUUGCCAGCAUCCUGGGAGAUUCCCUUGGUGCCUGUCUGUACUUGAUUACUUGUUUCUUGGAUCCAGUGUCUUUUUUCUUGAUAUACUCCCUCAUUUGAGAGGAUCUUAUUCUCCAUUACAUUCCUGAGAAAAGGUGCAAGAAAGGUGCAAGAAAAAUUUUUGAACCUUGAAUGUCUGACAAUGUCUUUAUUUUAUCCUCUCAAUUAAUUGAUGAUAUGGCUAGGUAUAGAAUAGUGUAUUCGAAAUCAUACCCUAAGAAUUUUGAAGGUAGGCAUUGAUUAUUUUUCUCUUCUUUCCAGUGUGGUAUUGAGAAGUCUGAUGCUAUUCUGAAUGUUGAUUAUUUCUUUACUUUCUGAAAGCUUUAUACAAUUUUUUCUUUGUCUCUAGUAUUUUGAAAUUUAAGAAUGAUGUGCUUGGGGCUUGGGCCUUUUUUAUCCAUUGUGUUCGCACUUGGCCGUACUUUUAAUGUGAAAACUCAUGUACUUCACUUUUCAAAAUUUUAUUUGUUGUAUUUCUUGGAUUUUUUUUCCUCUCUGUUUUCUCUUUUUUUAUGAAACUCUUAUCAUUUGAUUUUAAGCCUUCUGGAUUAACACCACAUUUUAAAAAUAUUUUUCCCUCAUUCAUUUAUUGCCUUUUCCCCAUUCUAGAAGGUUUUCUGAACCCUAUCUUCUAACUCAUCUAUUAAGCUUUACCUUUUUUGUACGUAUUUUUUAAUCUCUAGAUUCCUUUUACAAGAAUGUUCUGAAUGUUCCUUUAAAAAGACUUCAUCUUCUUUGUUUCAUGAAUGUAAUUAAUCUUUUUGAAGUGUUCUCACUGCAUUGUCUUUUUUAAUUUCAAAUUUCUUUAUCUCUUUAUUUUCAUCUCUGACUUUCAGGUUGGCAGAUUUCCUAAAAUUACUGGUCAUCCUUGGUUGUCUGCUUACAGAUGAGUGGGCUGAUAAAGUGCUGUUGGAAGAUCUUUGUAGGUGGGCUUGUUGUUAGAUGAAAUAUACUAUAUUGUAAUCUGGCUGAGCAUUUCAUGGGGUAACUCAUUACUAUAAGUAUUUCCAGGUCUCCCAUAUCUUCUCCAACCAUUCAGGUUCUUCAGGGAAAAAUCUUGUAACCUAUUACCUAAAAGGUAUUAUCCUGGCUGCUUAAACAUGGGCAUCAAACAAAGAAGGGGGAUGAAAAUGGAGGCUGUCUGAUAGUUUGGUGUGUAAACUUCCAUUUAAUUUCUCUAUUUUCAUCAAACCUGAAACUUGAAACCAGUUUGCACAGGCUCACAAAAAGCUGAUUGUGUGCAUCUCUUCCCAACUCCAUGACCAGAGACUUUAUGCUGUCCAUUUGAAAUUAGCUUUGGUGGGAGUAUUUACACCACUGCAAUUGGCAAUGACUACAAAUUAGAGCCCUAGUUGCUUCCCAGCUUCCAAGCUGAUAGUGAAACAUACGCAGAGCACCACCGAACACACUAUAUCUGCUGUGUAUGGUGUUUUCCCAUGCUAGAACCCCUCUUUUUUUUAACCUCCUUGAAGAAAUAUACUUGUCAUCAUCUGCCAGGGUUGGGGAAAGGAAACAUGAUCACAGGGUUGUAUAGAGUGAGAGAGGGAAUCCAGGGUUUUACUGUAUUUUAAAUAUACUUUUAAAUCAUCCCCUAUUUGCAGCCCCCUUUUCACCCCCGCUUUGAAAAGCAUCUGCCACCGCCAUUCCUGGUUUCUGAAGUGCAAUUCAGUUUGCUUCCUGGCUUCACCCACUGAUAGCUUAGAUUUCAGCUUUCUGGGAUCUGCCAAGGCAGUGACCAUUCAGCCACCUGCUUUCCAACUUGCAAAGUUAGGCUUCUGUUGCCCCUGCUCCUCUUUGUUGAGGGUUUCUGUCUUUUUUAACCUCUUAUAGUCCUUUUAGUAGUUUGAGGGAGCUUGAGUAGUUUCAAGAUUGACCUUGAAAAUGCAAGGUCAAUCUGCCUUUUCUAUCCAAAAGUCUAACUGAAAGGAGGAUGUUGUGUUAGGGGCAGGCCAAAAGUCCUGAAUAGUUCAGAAAUACUCUGACUUCCCUGGGCCCUGGGCAGCCCCACAGUCAAGGUUACCUGUCUUGAACUACAGUUAAUAACUUUGCCAGGCAUGGUGGCUGACAGAUGUAAUCCCAAAUACUCGGGAAGCUAAGGCAAGUGGCAAGAGGAUCACUUGAGGCCAGGAGUUUGAGAUCAACCUGGGCAACAUGGCAAGAUCUCGUCUCUAACAAUAACUCGUAGCUUUGUCAGGCCAGGCAUAAACAGCCCCAAUUGUUGGUCAAGACUGCAACUGAGGGCAGGUGAGAACCGCAUUGAGUGAAAAUGAAGUCCUCAUGUAUAGGUAAGCAUUUGCCUGACUAUAUUCAAGUCUUCACCAACUGCUAUAAACUUGGUAACUCUUUAACUUCCUGAAAUUUUACUCUUAUUGGCCUUUGUAAAAUACAUGUUAUUUUUUGUCUUAGAAAAUUUUUCAUGUAUCAGGCCAACCUGAAGAGACCAUGUGGCUUUGACCCAUGACCUGUAGGUCUAAAAACUCGUUAGAAUGUACUUGGCAAUUGAGAAAUAGAUAAUCUUGCUCCUGCUUCAUGUAGCCUCAAGGGUCAUACCAUUCAUCUUGUUAAAUUCGGCUUUUCAGCUCCAAAAAGUGAGGAGGCAUCUCAGCAUGGAUAACUCUGAAGAACAAAUGGCAUUACUGGGCAGAUCACUUAACGUAAACAUAUGGUGGGCAAGUAGAAAGCCUUGCUGAUUCCUUUUAUUCUGUGUUCUGUGCACCCACCAGCAGUGAGUGUAGGAUGGCUGAUUACUGUGGAUUGGAAAAACUCUCCAUUUUUAGUUACGAGAUUGGCAACAAUUUCUGAGACAAAAGCACGCCUGUUGCUGCAGGCAGCCAUGCAGUGCCAGAGCACAAUUGGAAAACCCGUUCUAAGUUGUCAGCCCUGACCCUCAGGUGAUUUUGUGGUGUGUGAUAUAGGGGGGUGUUUUAGGCCAAUCAUUCAAUGGAUUUCCUAAUUUCGCUUCUGGGAGAACGACUCCCCUGCAGAGAGAGGAGGGAGAGGCAUCUGCCCUCUUAGGAAAUAACUUUCAAAUAUGGGAACCAAAACAGACAAAUGAUGCCAUUAGAAAAAACUGUAGGGGUGGAAGAGUAAGCUGUCUGUCCAUGAUCUAAGUCUACACAAUUGGAGUUAGAAAUCUGCAGGUCCCAACCUCUGCUCCACCAAGUUCUAGUAUUAGUUUGUGUUGGGCAGCUGACCCUCUCUAAACCUCUUCCUUCUCUUCUGUAAAUUGGAGGUAAUAAUAAGAACUACCUGUUUAAGCUGCUGUAAAAGUAGGUAAAAAAGGAGGCAAAGCUCUUAGCCCACAGCUAACUCAUAAGCUUCUUAAGUGUUUGCUAUUAUUGGCUAUGACUGUGGGUAGCAUGUCUGCCCCUAGUCAGCUAGAGUCAUACCAAGGUGGCUACUUGUGAAGCUAUAGCCCAAUGAGGUUUUAGGGGAGCACUGGGGCUGCUCUCUAGCAAGCAGAGAACGACUUAGUGAACCUGAGGAAGAUGCAGAGUUGACAUUAAAUAUUUACUAAGCAUGCGCAGUGUACGAGAAAGCAGAUGAAUUUGUCUCCAGGAGCUCCAGGAGCACUUCACUUAAGACAAGGUAUUAAACUUCCAUCUGAAGCCCGAACAUAUCAUCAUUUAAUCACUAGUGAGAAGGUACCUUAGGAAGCAUAAUGUUACGCUUCCGUAAUGGCUGCCAAGGCUGAAUCUUGUCCUAUCACUUUCUCUCCCCUCUGUUUUACACCCACACAGUUCACUGGCAAAGCCCUGCAUCUCCAAGAUAAACAGCCACAGCCACAGUGGAUCUUGGCUUCAGCACAGGCUUGUUUCACCAAAUCUACACACACAGCAAACAUAUUGCGUGGAAAGUCCCCAAGUUCAGAGUUGAGUUGGAGCCUCUGCUCCUGUCUAGGCAUUUUUGUGAAAUGGAAAUGUUCUUGUGUGUAUGCAUGUGUACAAGUAUGUGUAUGUUAGUGCAUACGCAAAUGUACAUGUAUGUAUUCACCCUAGGAAUAGAACUAAUUAACCCACUUUUACUUUGAAUACCAGUAAUUAUUACUACGGAAUUUCAUUUUGGAUUCCAUCACAUCUUAUGAACGACAUUCACUAACUCUGAAAAUACAAGGUAUACCUUAGCAUAAAUAUAUUGAUAUUUCCCAUGGAAGACAAUAAUGGUGAUUUGUCUUUUCUAUGAUGCUGCCUCUUAGUCUGCAUGAUCAUUUUUUUCUUUUUAAAUAGACUUUAUUUAGAGUAGUUUUCGUUUCACAGCAAAAUUGAGCAGAAGGUACAGAAAUUUCCCAUACACUCUCUGCCCCUGCUCAUGAAUAGCCUCCCCUGAUUAUUGGCAUCCCCCAAAAGACUGGUACAUUUGUUACAACUGAUGAACCUACAUUGACACAUCAUUAUCACCCAAAGUCCAUCGUUUACAUAAAGGCUAACUCUUGGUGUUGUAUAUUCUGUGGGUUUGGACAAAUAUAUAAUGAAUGGUAUGUAACCAUGGGUUGUUUUAAUAGUUCUCUGGGCCUUACCAAAUUGAAAAAAAAAAGAAAAGCACUCUAACAGAGGUUGUCCUUCUUCUCAGGUCCUACAGGCAGAAUUGUCUCAGCUAAGAAAUGCAGAGCUACCUUUUUAGGCAGAACAUUUGCUAAUCAUACAAGAAGCCUCUAUUUUUUGAAAUUUCCUUCCCAGAGGUCUCAACUGGACAUUGUGAAUAAACACUUGUCUAUGUCAGGAGUUUACUGUGCUUUGUUAUUCUUUUCCUCUUAUGUAACCGGUCGCUCAGCAUCUUCUUUCUCAACCAUGUAUCCUUAACCAUGCCGACUCCUCUUCUUUCCAAGGGCAAACCUGUACAUUGGCAGCUCAGGGUGAACAGAGCAUUGACUGGCGUCUGACUCUGCUGCCAUUUCUAGUUGCCUCCCUUUGCUGCCAGGAGCCAGGACGUCCCCCGCCUUCCUCUUCCCACUACUCUCCUGCUCCUGCAUUCUGUGUCUUGUCUUUUAUUACUGCCCCCUAACUCUGGAACCCACUUUCUUACCUCCUUAUUUGCAAUCAGCUGCCUCUCUUGCCUUCAGACCAUGAAUUUCUUCUUUUAUCCUCAUGAAAACAAGCCUUGGACAUCAGGUAAACCAAGAUCUGCAUCUCCACUGUGUCAGCUCAAUGCCAUCCUUCCUGGAUACCUACACGGACUCUGGCUGUAAUGCUAUUUCUUUCCUCCCUAGAUUUUAAGGACUUAGAAAGCUGUCAUUUUCAUUGGCUCUAUUAUAUUUUUACAAUACCAAAUAUCUCCUAAACUUUAAACAACAUGAGAAAUGGAUGUGAAAUGUACUAUUUCAUUUACAAGAUGAAGAAUCAGGUAAAUAUGAGCAUUUCUUUAUUUAGUCAGUAGGUAAAAAAAAAAUCAUUCCAGAUGAUCAAAGCAGGACCAUUCCUAGCCACUGGUGGACUAUUGCUUUACACUCAGCCAAAGUUACAGUGCUUGGUGGGGAGGAAUGAUUAUGGAAACAGAGGUAAGGACAACUGCCAAUAUGAACAUACAUUCUAUAAACACAGCUCAAAUUACCUUCAUACAUUUUGAACUUAAAAAUCUCACCAAUCGACAGAGAAAAAACAUUCCUCUAAGUAUCUAUGUCUGGAAUAAUAUAAAGUGAACAGACAGUGCAUUCAGCACAAAUACUGUUCAGUACUUCUCAUGCUUCCUGCAACCUGCCUACUUUUCCAGCAACCAAAGGAGCAAGAGAGCCAACCAUAGUAGUUCAUUAACCUUUUCAAGUUUCCAGAUGCUGUUCUUGUCUCUGUUUGGAUAACUGCCAUUAUGUUCUGUUUCCAAUGUAAUCUUGUAUCUAACACUCUCUUCCAGAUACUGUUGACCUCUGCCAUAUUCCUACCAAAGUAUACAAAACAAAAAGAGGUCUGCUGUGGUCCAUAGCAUAGCAGGAACCCCCCAUGCCAUUCACAGACAGAUCCAAUGGGAGUUGCCUUUUCAACUGAGGGAUGGCAGUAUGGUUUUUCUUGAGAGGGAAACAUCCAAGCCAGAAGUAGCCUGCAGGGCUUCUAUUUGGUUUUGCCCACCUCAUCCAUCAGUGCUCUUGUUGGGUCACUGGCCAUGGUCACCUGGGAACAACACAUCCUGAGCAUCCCAGAUAGCUGCUUUUUGGCUUUGGGUAGGAGGGAAGAAUAGCCAUGCAUUAUAAUGAAUAUUCUAGAAUGUGGCUUUGGAUUCUGAACAGGGGAAAGGCUUCUCUAAAGUCAGAGCUUCAGGCAAUUUUUCUGUCUCAAUUAUCCCCACAAGAUUAAGGUCCUUCCUUCCAUACAAUCCUCUCCAUAGGUCUUUUGUUCCCCAGUGUGCUUUCUGAAAGCCCACCAAUCAAGUGAGAUCCCUGGCCAACAGCACUCCUUCUGUGCUCAUUUUUCAUUCAUAGGUAAUAUUUGUAAGCUACAAACCUCAUUUCAUUCUGAACAAAUACAUAUGUUCAUGCCUAAUGCUUGGAUGGAAUGUUAGUGAAGUGUUGUGGGGUUUUUGUUCACAAUAGACUGGAUCUGUUGUUGGCAAAACUCUUUUAGAAAGUAGAACCUGCUGGGCGCGAUGGCUCACGCCUGUAAUGCCAGCACUUUGGGAGGCCGAGGCGGGAGGAUCACGAGGUAAGGAGAUCAAGACCAUCCCAGCCAACAUGGUGAAACCCCAUCUCUACUAAAAUAUUAAAAAAAAAAAAAAAAAUUAGCCGGUUGUAGUGGCACACGCCUGUAGUCCUAGCUACUCGGGAGGCUGAGGCAGAAUAAUUGCUUGAUCCAGGGAGGUGGAGGUUGCAGUGAGCCAAGGUCAUGCCACACACCACUGUACUCCAGCCUGGUGACAGAGUGAGACUCCGUUUCAAAGAAAAGAAAAGAAAAGAAAAGAAAAGAAAAGAAAAGAAAAGAGUAGAACCCUGUCUGCAAGUAAAACCUGACAUGGAAGCCUGCUAUACACAUCCAAUAAAAAUGCAACUGCUCAGGUGAGAAUCAAGGUAGAUCAACUGCUUGGUCUGCCUUGCCUUGUUUCAGGGAGCAGCCCCUGAGGGAACCAGGAAGAAGCCUUAUAGCACCAGAGGGCAAGGGCUCAAGAACUCAGAACUAGACCACUUGGCAGGCUCUUUUCUGCAACAAACUAUUAUUUCAUAAUAUAGUUACACUGUGCAGUUCCAAACACCAUCCAAUGCCCAUAUCUUUUAGCUUUUUUCAACGGAAAAAUAAUGAUGGCUUCAAAUAUAUAGCUUGAGGAAUAAGUAACAGAAUACGUGCUGCCAACUAGUUAUGAAAUAAAGUAUGCAGUUAACAUCAAGGCCCAUGCCCUCACUUCAUAUGGCAAGUUAUCACUGCAAGCUACUGGGCACCUGCAUCCUCAGACACCUAGGUUCUUUUUCCUUGGACACUUUUCUCUUUCUUCUCAUCAUCCUCUCUCUUGCCUCUUACAGUCCCUUUUGCUCCCUCCUUUUCUCCAUAUCUUCCCUGACCUCUCUUUUCUCUCUUUCAUUACCAAUUCUUUCUUUCUCUUUUCUUUCUUAUCAUGUUGCUUUUUUUAGCCUUUGUUUAGCUUCUAUCUGCUCCUUCAGGAUCAGUCAGGCCUGGUCAGGUUACAGUGCAAUAACACACAUCUCCCAAAUCUCAGAUGCUUAAAGCAACAAAGUUAAUUUUACAGUCCUUCCACAGGCCCGUCACAGGUUGCUCAUUGGAGUUGUUCAGGGACCCAGGCUGAUGAAGCAGCCAUUUUCUCAAAUGUUGGAGAGAGAGCAUGUAGGGAAGCCUGCGUUCUUUCCUGAAGCUUCUACCUAGAUAUGAAAUAUGCAUCACUUCCCACAUAUUUUAUUGCUAAAGCAAAUUACACAGACAAAAUUUAAAUUGGUGGGGGAAGCACAAUGCUACCAUGUGCCUGUAAGUUUAGAGGGUUCAAAUAUUUGAAAUUCGCCUAAUGAGUACCACUGUCAUUAUGUAACCUUCACAGCUCUAUGUCAGGGUCCUUCCGAAUACUUUGCUUCUAAUGUUCUUUCCCUCUAGCCCUGCACCUUGACCUCCUUAUUUGUUCCUAUUUGAGAUCUUCCUUAUUUCCUCCUCAUCCUCCGCCGUCAUGUGGUGGCUGCACCAAGAGUAAUUAUAAGAAGUAUCACUAGGCUGGGCGGGGUGGCUCAUGCCUGUAAUCCCAGCACUUUGGGAGGCUGAGGUGGGCGGAUUACCUGAGGUCAGGGUUUUGAGACCAGCCUGACCAACCAACAUGGAGAAACCCCAUCUCUACUAAAAAUGCAAAAUUAGCCAGGCGUGGUGGCACAUGCCUGUAAUCCCAGCUACUCAGGAGGCUGAGGCAGGAGAAUUGCUUGAACCCGGGAGGCAGAGGUUGCAGUAAGCUGAGAUUACACAAUUGCACUCCAGCCUAGGAAACAAGCACGAAACUCUGUCUCAAAAAAAAAAAAAAAAAAAAAAAGAAGUAUCAUGUCUAGAGGCAGGGAGAGGAGCUUCAUGGUUUUUAAUGCACAAUUUCUGGGAUAACAUGGUUAUAGUCCUCUAAGCAGAAGAGAAGGCAGUAUCAGGAUCCUACGGGUAUCUGGCCCUAGCUCAGACCCCUCCUUCAUGGAGGUGCGAUCCUAGCAGACUCUGCUCAUUCCCAGCUGUUGCUGCUAAGGCGAGGUUUCUGAAGGCUCAGACAGAGCAGCCGCUCCCUUUUCCCACUCCACGUGGCACCACAUCAAUAAUCAUUUAAACACAGCCGGGCGUGGUGGCUCAUGCCCGUAAUCCUAGUGCUUUGGGAGGCCGAGGAAGGCAGAUUACUUGAGGUCAGGAGUUCGAGACUGGCCUGGUCAAUGUGGUGAAACCCUGUCUCUACUAAAAAUACAAAAAUUAGCCAGGCAUGGUGGCGGGAGCCUGUAAUCCCAGCUACUCGGGAGGCUGAGGCAGGAGAAUCACUUGAACCCAGGAGGCAGAGAUUGCAGUGAGAGGAGAUCAUGCCACUGCACUCCAGCCUGGGUGACAGAGCAAGACUCUGUCUCAAAAAAAUCAAAACAAACCAAAAAACUCAUUUAAACACUCUUCCUCCAUAGCCAUCAUUGAACUAUCGAAAAAUAAGUCAGGGUAAAACCAUUCCCAUUAUACUUUAUACAUAUAGAGAAAUUAAAUGAAGCAAAAAUAAAAGAGAGUUUACUCAGUAUCAAUCAUAGUUAGAAUGAAUCCUAGGAAGUAACUGCAUUGUAAAAUUAUACGGAAAUCCGUAAGUUAAAGUUAAAUCUUAGCUGUCAACAAAACAUCAUCUGUGAAUUAAAGAAAGGUGAGUACAUUUACUUGAGUACAAACAUUAUUCAUUUCAUCUGUACCAGGGACUAGUAAACCAGAAGCCAGCAAACCUAUCAUACCUGCCUCCUGUUCUCCACCUUGCUGAAGAGUCACAUGCAGUUUUGCAUGUUAGACUCCCCUCCUGGAUAGAUUUCAACGGCACAGGGGUUUGGGGAAUUUAGGAAGUGUUGAUGGCAGGAAGGUCCUUCAAAGAAUUCUAACAUGUUACCAAGAGUGCUGAGACCCAAAUCAGCUAAUGGCUAUGUGGUAUGAUCAAAUACAAGUUGGCCUAAUAUUGGGAGUGGUUACAGAUAAAUAGCUGCUUAUAUGAGAUGACAAAGGACAUAGGGAAGGUUUUCAAAUGCUUCCCUCAGUGUUGACUAUGUUGACAAAACUUUACAACUAGAGAAUUCUUCCUUUAGGAUUUUUUAUUUUUAUUUUUUAGUUUUCAAGAAGAACCAGUAAAAAAGAAAAUAUAGCAGGGAGCCACAACACUCAUUUUUAAGCUAUUAUAAACCAACACCAUAUUACAGAGGUAACUGACAUGAUAAAUCUGGGCUAGGUAGCUAGGUAGGAAGUGAAGAGUUCAUGGUCCUAAGAGGAUCUGAUCCGGUGCUUCUUGGGAAAUGGGAAAGACUGAAGACAAGACCUGCUACCUUCUCAUUUUUUUGUUUUUUUCUAAAGAACAGCUCUGAUUUUUCUCAAGGCAAACUAAAAAAAAGUCUAAGAUAAAAAAGCAAAACCCAUCUUCCCAAAGUUGCAUGUUAGUUGCAUUCCCUGAGCCCCUAGCUAUAUCUGAGAUUUCCCUUUAGGGAAAUUCCACAGGUUACAAUUCCUUGGGUAGGGUCCCUUUAAGUUGUUGGUUAGAGACGUGGGACAGGAAGCGGAAGCGGAGGUCAGGCUGAGAGGAGAUACCUAGGAAAGCCGGGGCACAGAGCAAAGCAGCCGUGGAGGCGUGCAUGACCAAUGCAGAGCCAGCCAUAGACUCUUCCAAGCCUCCUUCGAGGAGGCCAGUGUGGGGAGGUGGAAUAUGUAGGGAUGAACACCCACACUAUGUGUGGAGUUCCUUAGGUAAAAAAUACUAGCAGUGCCUUACUUUAGGGAACUGAAUAUUCUGAGCUAUAGCCAAGGAGAAAAGGUGAUCACACGGUGGCCUUCCUCUACCUGGGUGAAUGUUCCAAGGCUCCUCAGACACAGCUCUCCAUUCUCUGCGCAGCCUCUGCCUUCCAUCUGCCUCUGAACAAACAAACAGCUACAGGCAAAGUAGUAGCUCGCAACUCCAGUUUUGCAUGGGAGUGACUCAUGUCACAGAGAAUGUGAGUCAUUCUCUGCUCCAGGGGAGUUUACACUCAGGCUUAGCACAAUCGUCCUUUUCCCUAGCCCUCCUCCCUUCCCUGCAAGCUUUGAGGACUUUGAACUCCAUAAAACGAUCCUAUAGAAUAAAAGAGAGUAGUGACAGGGUGUGUGUGUGCAAACUGUAGUGUGCACAGAGGCACCAAAGAAGUUGUAGACCUAACUCAUCUGCAAUUAAAGACUGCAGAAAAAAUAUGUGAGCUACUUUUAAAUGAAGAAUAUUCAGCAUAAAGAACAAUUGGAAAAAUUCAAACAUGUAUUAUCUCCUCUCAAUAAAUACUAUUUCCUCAAAAGAGCUGGCACAGUUGGCUGGGAGCGGGGAGCAUUUUCCUACUCUUAUGAAGAUGGUUUAUAUUUGAUUUGCAUUUCAGAUUUUUUUUUGUAAAUUACUGAACAUACAUCAUGUAGUCAGACCCAUCUUAAGAAAUGCCAUCCUUCCUGCCAUCCUAGGCACGCUCUCAUGAGACUCCCUGCAGUGAGAGCUUGUGUCUAAAUGUCAGAUGUAGGACAGAUAUAAAGGACAACUUUGAUCACAAUUCUGGGCCAAAAUGAUUACCUUUUGGGUUCUUCUCCUAUAAUCAUCUUUUUUCAGAGAGCUUGUGGCUUAUUCGUUUGCUCAAAAUAAAGCACAUUAUUUUUCAUAAGAGAAAAAGAAACUGAGCUUAUGUGAUCUAAAAGUGUUAAAGUAUAGCCAAUAUGUAUUAUUAGAAGCAAAUAUGUUCUUUUUAUAAAAGACAAUGCAAAAGCCUUUCUAGACAUUAUUUUUGUCAGAAUCUGCCAAAGAAAGAGAGAGAGAUGGGCACAAGGAGUAUUUCUCAGACGCCAAAUCAAAGAGAAAAAUCUUAGGAGAGAUAAACAUUAUGUCAUGUUUCUGAAACUUCCUGAUUAUACUUAAAGUAGACCAUCUGUCCCCAGUGACGGAACUCACUGGAUGAGACCUUGAGGAAUGUAACUCUUUGUAAAAUUUCUGAAACAUUGAAUUUGCUCCCCAGUAGUCCAACUUUGUAGCAAAUCUGUUACCCAGAUGUAAAUUUAGAAGCAUCCGAGUUCUUGGCUCCCUAAAGGAAGAAUUUCAAUUUAGAAGAGGCAUUAUAGACUCUAACAAGAGAAGAAUGGCUCAAAACCUAAAUUACCCCAAACAAACCGGGAUGCAACAUAAGGGAAGUAAGUGGAGAAUUCAGCAUUAGGGAAAGGUGAAUAUGAGCUGCUCUUACCACUGAGAGAAAAAUACUGUUACUGCAAACAAAAAUGAAACUCACAAAUAUGAUCCAAAUGUUAAAUGUAUGCUCUGGUUUUGAAGAACAAAUUCAUUCCUCACUAAGCAUUUUCCUAAGCGUCAUUCAGUACAUGCACAAACUCAAACUUGACAUGACAUCUACCAAAGGCGUGUGUGUGUGUCUGUGUGUGUAUCUGCCUGUAUAUCACCAGUCUUCUACAAAGAGGCAGAUGGUACUAGGGAAAAAAAGCUGACAGAGAACCGCAAUAUAAAUCGUGAUACAAUUCUUAAGUUGAGUAAAAAUGGGACAGGAGAAUCGUACAAAAAUUCAGCAAGAAAAGCUUGAAGGAAAAAAAAAAAAAACCGUGGAGGAAAUGGUGGAAAGCAUCAGGAAGUGGAGCAAGCUUGGAAAAGUGAAGUGGGAGAAAUGCUGAGUGACAGAUGCCAUGGACCUGUAAGGGAGGCAAGAGGAUGGGUCCAGCCUAUGGAAGAAAGCAGAAGAAGGGAACAGCCACUUGUGAAAUCCCAAGAGGACAUGCCUUGCUUCCCCUUCUGCCACGAUUGCAAGUUUCC